RNAcentral lists this ribosomal RNA (484 nucleotides) under uncultured bacterium. Its description in RNAcentral is "partial 16S ribosomal RNA". It matches the Rfam family "Bacterial small subunit ribosomal RNA", at positions 36 to 507 of the family's 1533-position model. The record is from RNAcentral.
CUUUCCCUCUUUCUUCCUGCUUUACACAUGCAAGUCGAGCGGCAGCGCGGCCUUCGGGCUGGCGGCGAGCGGCGAACGGGUGAGUAAUGCAUCGGAACAUGCCCAGUCGUGGGGGAUAACACUUCGAAAGAAGUGCUAAUACCGCAUACGUCCUGAGGGGGAAAGCGGGGGAUCGCAAGACCUCGCGCGAUUGGAGUGGCCGAUGUCAGAUUAGCUAGUUGGUGGGGUAAAGGCCUACCAAGGCGACGAUCUGUAGCUGGUCUGAGAGGAUGAUCAGCCACACUGGGACUGAGACACGGCCCAGACUCCUACGGGAGGCAGCAGUGGGGAAUUUUGGACAAUGGGGGCAACCCUGAUCCAGCCAUUCCGCGUGAGUGAAGAAGGCCUUCGGGUUGUAAAGCUCUUUCGGCAGGAACGAAACGGUGGGCUCUAACAUAGUCCGCUAAUGACGGUACCUGAAGAAGAAGCACCGGCUAACUACGUG